Populus trichocarpa (black cottonwood) is the source of this 1296-nucleotide long non-coding RNA. RefSeq lists it as uncharacterized. The record is from RefSeq and is a predicted model, not a curated record. NCBI's taxonomy places the organism in Eukaryota, Viridiplantae, Streptophyta, Magnoliopsida, Malpighiales, Salicaceae. The transcript has 2 exons.
GGAUUUUGUGGUUUUGCUGUUGGGAGAGUUUUGAUUUCAUUUAAUAGGAUUUGUGUUUCAGUUAUUAUAUAUAAUGAACCAUAUAAGUCAUGCCCUUUUAUGAUACAAAAUUUGGCUGAUUUGCAGUCACAUCUACAUGAUAAUAACACUCAGUGUUCCAGGACAAGGCUAUUCAAAUGUAAUAGUUGUGGGAAUUGAAUCAAUCCCUUAUCUGACUUGGUUUUUUUAUUUUAAAUCCAUAUAAUAUUUCCUUGCAUUCUCUUUGUGAAGGCUUGUAAACAAAGUUUAAAGAAAGAAAUCAUCACUUAUCUCCAAAUUAAUGGCACCGACCUGAGUACUUCUGCGGAUGGAUGAUUCUGAUAAGAUCAAGAUGUUAGUGGAUUGUUAUGCUUAUGGAGGAGGGUGGAAAAUUGUGAAAAGAUCAUGACGUUGGUGGAUUGUUGUGCUUGUAGAGAAGACAAUAUUGUAUACUUUGUGUGUAUGUGUCCAUAUCUUAGGAGGACAAUAUUUAACAGUGAUGAGCUCUGUGGAAGAACCUGAGCAUCUCUCUCUUCAAGAAUCUGAACCAUCAGACUCACCUAGCACUCGUCUUCUUGUUACAAAACAUCUGAACCACCUAGCAAGAGGCAUCACCCCUCUAGUCAUCAAAAUUUUGAGCCUCCUUUGUCCAUAAAUUUCUCCAUGCUCUUUAAAUUUAUGAGAGGAUUGAUAUCACAUUAUUCUCUUUCCUUGCUCUCUAACUUCGUGUUCCAUUUUUGUUACCUGUCAUAUGCUUAGUAGAGCACUUCAGUGUCAUUAUUUUUAUCAAUCACAACGAUUUUCAAACUGGGUAAACCUGUAUGGAACAGAUGCUUUUUGGUGGCUGCUAGGGCUUGCUAAUAUGCCAUUGUCAUUCUUUAGUGGCUUUCUAUCAUAUAGCAUAUUGCUCCUUAAAAGUCUGAUACUAUGAACAUUGCUCCUUUAGGUCUGCUGUCAAAUUUGCAGCAAACCCGGUUCAUCUUUCUAAUUUUUUUUCAACUACUUCUUGACCAAACUUUAUUAUAUUUUGCUUGCAGGAUCACUGCCUUUGAUAACACAUGGGCCUUUUUUUGUAUCCACGACACCUAGGCUGGUUGUCUUUUUUUGCAGAACUUUCAUGGCUUCACCCCCUACUCAAACAAUUUACUGCUUCACUCCCUUGCGAUGCCACUGCUAUAUUCCACUUCUUUUUGUUAGUAUACUUCCUUUUUGUUGUGGAUUGAUAGAUUAAUGUGUAUUUUACAUUGAUGCAAGCUUUAUUAUUCCACGAUUCAUCUA